Molecule: long non-coding RNA, 620 nt
Filed under: Elaeis guineensis (African oil palm)
Lineage: Eukaryota; Viridiplantae; Streptophyta; Magnoliopsida; Arecales; Arecaceae
Description: long non-coding RNA (EGUI_LNC079629)
Source: RNAcentral
UGGCCAAUCCUCUCCUGCGCAGCUGACAGUUCCACCCUGAGAGAGCUGAUCUUGGCAGCUUGAGCCCAAAUUCGAUCACUGGCACUCUUCUUGUGUUCCUCAAGUUCCUUCGCGAAGUCUGCCUUCCUCCGGCUGUACUCCAUGAUCCCCUUCACGUGGAGAUUUCGAAAGUGGGUGUCCUUCGAGGUGGCUUCAGAGUAACCCUCCCUUAACCUGCGAAGCUCGCCUUCCAUCUUCUUUGACCUUUUUGUCGCAUGAAGAACCUCCUUCUUCAGUCGCUGGAUCGUGGACUUCAGCAGGAUCCCCUGGGGCAGGGGAAGUGCCUUGGCAGGAUACUACCAUCGAGAGACAGAAGCGUCAAGGUGCGUCUCAUUGCAGAAAGAAAAAUAAAAAGGGGGGAAGGGUGAGAAGAGAAGCCAUCCACGGUAAGAAAUUCAACUUUAUUGAUUGAAUGAUUCUUGAAGACAAAAAGGAAAAGAAAAAUUACAGUAAAAGAAAGAUACAAGGUCGGAGGUCUCAGACCUCAGAAGCAGGAGUUGGAGAGCUCGGUGUUCCUGGGGGGGCUGCGGCAGCAGUAGCGACAGGAGAAGGACCGGCCUCAUCCUCAGACUCCUCGCCCA